UCAUCCAAAUCGAGUAUUUUGUCGAAAGAUGAACCUUUGCUGAUGUGACUUUCCUUCUGAUUCCUGAAUCUCCUACUUCAGGUUUUUCAAGUCCAAGUUGAGGGGGAGGGUAUCUGCAAAAGGCACCCCGAUGCUCAAGUUAGACGUGUUGUUGAAGAACUUUAGCUCUUAAUGAAAUAUUCAAUGAAUGAUUAACACUGUUUGAGUAUUUGAGAGUAAUGGAAUAUGAG
RNAcentral lists this small RNA (230 nucleotides) under Vigna angularis var. angularis. RNAcentral describes it as "Non-protein coding transcript". Lineage: Eukaryota; Viridiplantae; Streptophyta; Magnoliopsida; Fabales; Fabaceae. The record is from RNAcentral.